This 93-nucleotide microRNA precursor is filed under the name Equus caballus (horse). RNAcentral describes it as "mir-544 microRNA precursor family". It matches the Rfam family "mir-544 microRNA precursor family". The record is from Rfam by way of RNAcentral. Lineage: Eukaryota; Metazoa; Chordata; Mammalia; Perissodactyla; Equidae.
AUCACCUGGGAAACUUCUUAAAAUGCAGAUUCUGACUCAGUAAGCCAGGGGGCCUGAGACUCUGCAUUUCUAACAAGCUCCAGGUGAGGCUGA